AGUGAACGCUGGCGGUAGGCCUAACACAUGCAAGUCGAACGGCAACACAGUAAGAGCUUGCUCUUACGGGUGGCGAGUGGCGGACGGGUGAGGAAUACAUCGGAAUCUACUUUUUCGUGGGGGAUAACGUAGGGAAACUUACGCUAAUACCGCAUACGACCUACGGGUGAAAGCAGGGGAUCUUCGGACCUUGCGCGAUUGAAUGAGCCGAUGUCGGAUUAGCUAGUUGGCGGGGUAAAGGCCCACCAGGGCGACGAUCCGUAGCUGGUCUGAGAGGAUGAUCAGCCACACUGGAACUGAGACACGGUCCAGACUCCUACGGGAGGCAGCAGUGGGGAAUAUUGGACAAUGGGCGCAAGCCUGAUCCAGCCAUACCGCGUGGGUGAAGAAGGCCUUCGGGUUGUAAAGCCCUUUUGUUGGGAAAGAAAAGCAGCAGGUUAAUACCCCGCUGUUCUGACGGUACCCAAAGAAUAAGCACCGGCUAACUUCGUG
This 492-nucleotide ribosomal RNA is filed under the name uncultured bacterium. RNAcentral's name for it is "partial 16S ribosomal RNA". It matches the Rfam family "Bacterial small subunit ribosomal RNA", at positions 29 to 507 of the family's 1533-position model. The record is from RNAcentral.